RNAcentral lists this ribosomal RNA (277 nucleotides) under uncultured bacterium. RNAcentral describes it as "partial 16S ribosomal RNA". It matches the Rfam family "Bacterial small subunit ribosomal RNA", at positions 28 to 309 of the family's 1533-position model. The record is from RNAcentral.
GACGAACGCUGGCGGCGUGCUUAACACAUGCAAGUCGAGCGGAAAGGCCCUUCGGGGUACUCGAGCGGCGAACGGGUGAGUAACACGUGAGUAACCUGCCCUUGGCUCUGGGAUAGCUCCGGGAAACCGGAAUUAAUACCGGAUAUGACCACCGAUGACAUCGUGGGUGGUGGAAAGAUUUAUCGGCCAGGGAUGGGCUCGCGGCCUAUCAGCUUGUUGGUGGGGUAACGGCCUACCAAGGCGACGACGGGUAGCCGGCCUGAGAGGGCGACCGGCC